CAGUGAGUGCUCACAUUACAUUGUGCCCCUUGCGGCUGGUGCUGGUCUGCUGCUGCUGGUGGUGUCUCUGAGCCUCGUCUGGACCCUCUGCCCUUCUACUCUAGGAUUCCAGCCCAGGAUCUCAGCAUCUCCAUCUUCAGAGGAGCACCAGGGUGGGAUCUUAUACGCUCAUCUGGAUUUUGAUUCGCGGAAUCGCAACAGGCAGAAGAUGCAGCGACCGGCCAGAGGGAAACAUGUAAAACCCUGAACUGUCUAGUGCAGGGGAAUCCACAAGCAGGAACUGAUGAUUGGUUCUCUGCUGAUUGGAAGUAGACAGAGCCUCCUUCCAGCUGGCUGUCUCAGUCUAUUUUGUUUUUUAUUUUCUCCACUUCUGUUUAAAAAAUAAAGGUCAGAAGAUCCCCAAAGAGAAUCUCCUUUUGGGUUAUAAAGGCAUCAUGGUGUAGAUGACUUUACACAUCACUUGUGUAUUAGAUUGGAAGCUCUUUGGGGCAGGGACUGUCUUUGUACUGUGUUUGUGCAGCGCUGAGCACCAGGGGGCCUGAUCCAUAACUGGGGCUCCUGCGUGCUAUGGUAACACAAUCAUCAUCCUCCCGCCAUGUGCAGAGGGACCCGGACACAGCUGAACAACUAUAACUUUCCUGCAUAGAGUGAGGCUGGACGGCAGGAGGCUGCAGAGGGGACAUGCAGCCCCUGUAUACGCCACAGCUCCCAGCUCCCCUGAUCUUCAGCAGGUUCAUGCUCACGUUACAUGGACGUGCAAUGGGAUUCUGAAGGGGAAGGAUGGAUGCAGGAGAAGCUCUGAGGGAUGAGAAUCUCUCCCCAGACCAGUGCGGGAGCUGCUAAUACAAUGUCCAUUCUAGAGACUGCUGCUUUUCCCCACGGGCGAGAUCCACAGGGCCCCAUGUGCAUCUCCCCUCUGCACC
Non-coding RNA from Chrysemys picta bellii (western painted turtle), 923 nucleotides. The record is from RefSeq and is a predicted model, not a curated record. NCBI's taxonomy places the organism in Eukaryota, Metazoa, Chordata, Testudines, Emydidae.